This 67-nucleotide transfer RNA is filed under the name human gut metagenome. It matches the Rfam family "tRNA". From Rfam's summary of the family: Transfer RNA (tRNA) molecules are approximately 80 nucleotides in length. Their secondary structure includes four short double-helical elements and three loops (D, anti-codon, and T loops). The record is from RNAcentral.
UGGUGUAGCACAGCCGGUAGUGCAGCUGAUUCGUAAUCAGCAGGUCGAUGGUUCAAAUCCGUUCACC